UACGAAGGGGGCUAGCGUUGCUCGGAAUCACUGGGCGUAAAGGGUGCGUAGGCGGCUACUCAAGUCAGAGGUGAAAGCCCAGGGCUCAACCCUGGAACUGCCUUUGAAACUAGGUAGCUAGAAUCUUGGAGAGGUCAGUGGAAUUCCGAGUGUAGAGGUGAAAUUCGUAGAUAUUCGGAAGAACACCAGUGGCGAAGGCGACUGACUGGACAAGUAUUGACGCUGAGGUGCGAAAGCGUGGGGAGCAAACAGG
RNAcentral lists this ribosomal RNA (253 nucleotides) under uncultured bacterium. RNAcentral's name for it is "partial 16S ribosomal RNA". It matches the Rfam family "Bacterial small subunit ribosomal RNA", at positions 524 to 776 of the family's 1533-position model. The record is from RNAcentral.